GAUGAACGCUAGCGGCAGGCUUAACACAUGCAAGUCGAGGGGCAGCACGUCUUCGGAUGGUGGCGACCGGCGCACGGGUGAGUAACGCGUAUGCAAUCUACCUUUUACAGGGGCAUAGCCCGGGGAAACCCGGAUUAAUAUCCUAUAGUACCAUUAUAUAGCAUUAUAUUAUGGUUAAAGUUUCGGCGGUAAAAGAUGAGCAUGCGUCCUAUUAGCUUGAUGGUAAGGUAACGGCUUACCAUGGCUAUGAUAGGUAGGGGUCCUGAGAGGGAGACCCCCCACACUGGUACUGAGACACGGACCAGACUCCUACGGGAGGCAGCAGUGAGGAAUAUUGGACAAUGGGCGCAAGCCUGAUCCAGCCAUGCCGCGUGCAGGAAGACGGCCCUAUGGGUUGUAAACUGCUUUUAUACGGGAAGAAACACCCCUUCGUGAAGGGACUUGACGGUACCGUAUGAAUAAGGAUCGGCUAACUCCGUGCCAGCAGCCGCGGUAAUACGGAGGAUA
This 507-nucleotide ribosomal RNA is filed under the name uncultured bacterium. Its description in RNAcentral is "bacterial SSU rRNA". It matches the Rfam family "Bacterial small subunit ribosomal RNA", at positions 28 to 534 of the family's 1533-position model. The record is from RNAcentral.